This is a long non-coding RNA of Lactuca sativa (garden lettuce), 754 nucleotides long. RefSeq lists it as uncharacterized. NCBI's taxonomy places the organism in Eukaryota, Viridiplantae, Streptophyta, Magnoliopsida, Asterales, Asteraceae. The record is from RefSeq and is a predicted model, not a curated record.
CGGUACCUUUUCAUUAACUGUAGGCAUUAAUUAACUACUUUUGGUAGGUGUGUUUCUUUUUGUUCUCAAUAAGUCUUAUAUACUAUGGGUAAAGUAAUGUGGAUGAAUAAGAAAUAAUGUUUUUUAGGUGCUACCUCAGCCAAAGAAUGCAUUGGGGAAACGGUACAACAAGUUAUUUCAGAUGAAUCAACUAAGUUAACCUACACUAUACAGAAAGUGCUUUGAGAUUAAUUGCAAGAAAAGCAAUAACUAAGAACACUGGGGCCGUGGUCUGAGGGCGUUAUUGGAAAACAUAUUGAUGGAUGCCAUGUAUGUGGUUUGUGUCUAAAGAUUACUACUGUAUUAUUUUUUUCUUUUUAUAAUGAAAUGAUAGAAAUAGAAUGAUAAUUUAUAAAUGUAAUGCAAAUUCCUAAUGAAAGAACACGUAAAUAUAUAAUAGAUGGUGUGGUUGUUGAUGAGGAGGCAGUUGGGAGUGGCGCUAAAAUCCUCCAUGGUGACGCUGCUCUUGCCCAUUAUCUAUCACAACACUUAAUAGGUAACUUGGAAGGAAUAUUUGCCCCUGGUUGGAUAGGAUAUGGGAAUGCUUAUGCACCCAAAGAAGCAGAUGAUCAAGCUAUGUCUGGUUAUUGAACUGCUGCACGCUUAUUUCCUGGGUGUCACUUACCUAAACUCGCUGAGCAGUUUUUUUUGCAAGCAAAUGCAAUAUGCCCUUCGGAUCCACUUGUCAUGAACAAAUUCACUGGGCACACAAAAG